RNAcentral lists this ribosomal RNA (456 nucleotides) under uncultured bacterium. RNAcentral's name for it is "bacterial SSU rRNA". It matches the Rfam family "Bacterial small subunit ribosomal RNA", at positions 1 to 507 of the family's 1533-position model. The record is from RNAcentral.
AGUCACGUAGUUUGAUCAUGCNCAGANACGCUGGCGGCAUGCCUAACACAUGCAAGUCGAACGAGACCUUCGGGUCUAGUGGCGCACGGGUGCGUAACACGUGGGAAAUUUGCCUCGGGGUAUGGAAUAACUCAGGGAAACUUGAGCUAAUACCAUAUAAUGUCUUCGGACCAAAGAUUUAUCGCCCUGAGAUAAGCCCGCGUAGGAUUAGCUAGUUGGUGGGGUAAAGGCUCACCAAGGCGACGAUCCUUAGCUGGUCUGAGAGGAUGAUCAGCCACACUGGGACUGAGACACGGCCCAGACUCCUACGGGAGGCAGCAGUGGGGAAUAUUGGACAAUGGGCGAAAGCCUGAUCCAGCAAUGCCGCGUGAGUGAUGAAGGCCUUCGGGUUGUAAAGCUCUUUUACUCGGGACGAUAAUGACGGUACCGAGAGAAUAAGCCCCGGCUAACCCCGUG